GAUCCGGUUGUCUAGUGGUUACAACAUGCGCCUCGUAUGCAGGAGGUCAUGGGUUCGAACCACAGCUGAGUCA
Potamilus streckersoni is the source of this 73-nucleotide non-coding RNA. The record is from the annotation of a GenBank genome assembly. NCBI's taxonomy places the organism in Eukaryota, Metazoa, Mollusca, Bivalvia, Unionida, Unionidae.